Terrapene triunguis (Three-toed box turtle) is the source of this 180-nucleotide small nuclear RNA. Its record names the gene U2. It matches the Rfam family "U2 spliceosomal RNA". Rfam says of the family: U2 is a small nuclear RNA (snRNA) component of the spliceosome (involved in pre-mRNA splicing). Complementary binding between U2 snRNA (in an area lying towards the 5' end but 3' to hairpin I) and the branchpoint sequence (BPS) of the intron results the bulging out of an unpaired adenosine, on the BPS, which initiates a nucleophilic attack at the intronic 5' splice site, thus starting the first of two transesterification reactions that mediate splicing. The record is from Ensembl. Lineage: Eukaryota; Metazoa; Chordata; Testudines; Emydidae.
AGAACUUCUCGGCUCCUUGGAGCUAAGAUCAAGUAUAGUACCUAUCCUUAUCAGUUUAAUUUCUUUUGAUGGACACCUGCAACAUCUGCUCUGAAGAUGGAUUCUGUUGUUGCUAUUUUUGAAAAAAUUGAUGAUGCUUUGAAGAUGUAUUCUGCUGCUGCUACUUUGAAAGAAAAUCCU